RNAcentral lists this long non-coding RNA (6252 nucleotides) under Sus scrofa (pig). RNAcentral's name for it is "lncRNA (ENSSSCG00030059163.1)". Lineage: Eukaryota; Metazoa; Chordata; Mammalia; Artiodactyla; Suidae. The record is from RNAcentral.
GGGGGGGGGGGGUCCCCGGUUGCAAGGGACUGGGGGCAGGGGCUGCUUACCCCCUGCAGCGCCUCUCAGCUAAAGAAACAGAAUAGGAUUUACACGCCCAGGACCUUGGGUGGGCGGGGCCAGAGCGGGGGUGGGGGCGGGGGGGUUCUGAUUAUUAUAACGGGGGCUGCAGUGGUUGAUUUCCCGGUGAGCUUGGGAAUGGCCAGCUGGGAUGUUACCCAAGACAUACGCAUCCCCCACAACGUGGGCCGCCGGCUCACGGCUGGAAUUUCAAGCACACGCUCCAGUCGUUCCCAGAGUUCGGGUCAUUGGUAUGCUGGGCACUUGGUCGUUGACCUGACGCUGGCUUCUCCCGGCCAGCGCUCCUCCCUGGGACCGAGAGCCGUGAAUACGACCAACACAGACGAGACCUGAUAAAGAGCAGUUAGAAAGACUGAUCUGCCACCACCUUGCUUCCCAGGCCCCCGCUGGGGGCUGAGGCUGCAGGGAAGGUUGCUGGCUGGUUUCCCCACAGUCGUUUUGUGUCCGCUGAAGGCUCCCCUGAAUAUCUCUGGUCGGCCACAAACCGAGGCUGGGGCCCGCAGGGAUCUAAGUCUCCCAUGAUGGGACCGGAAUACAAAUGGAGCUGCGGAUUGAAAGAUCAGGUUAGACGGCUGGGCAGGGAGGGGCUCACACUCAGAGCAGGAACUCCUUUCCAAAGCGCCCGUCUUUCUACGUGUGAAAAUUCAAGUCCCUAACAAGGCUCUGUCUGUUUUCAGUUCCCACCCCUUCUUCCCAGGCCCUCGCCCAAAAACAGGAGAAAGGGAAGCUUUAAAUCGUCACCCUAAAUCCUCUUUUAUCCUUGACCUAAUCUGUCAGGAUUUGUGCCCUGCUCAUGCAGUGGCAUUCUGGUGCCCCAGGCCCCCUCUGGCUCCUCCCAGGGGCCACAAACGUCUCCCCAUUCCCACCCUCCUCCCCCCACAAACAAUUGGAAGGAAAAAGCUCAAUGAUUUUUCCAAAAUGUACGUAAAUAAGGUCAGCAGGAUAAGUUGGACGACCCUGGUUCAACUGAAGCCCCUUCAUCCUCUGAAACUUGGUCACGGUCAGUGCUGAGCUCCCUCCCUCAAGUCCCAGGUGAGAUGGGCUUCUUAGCAGAAGCUGAGUCUACCAAACACAGAGAAUCCACAUCACUGGGGAGAAGUGUGACCUCGAAGCCAUCAACUGGUCCCCAGCCUCAUAAUAGUCACUGGCACUUACUGAGCAGAGACAAAAUGUUCUCUAAACGUCACCCUCCAGAAAACCCCUAGAGAGUGUAACAGCUGGGGAAACUGAGCCUCAGAGAGAUUAAGUAUUGUGCCUAAGAUCACAGGGCAGCCCAUAGUAGAACCAGGAUCAGGUCAUCUGACCCAGAGAACCUGGUUUGUAACCAUUCGGCCAUAGUGUCACAGGUGUGCCUUGGAUCAGCAUGCUGUGACAUCUCGGUUUGGUCACACUCUUUGCCUGGAUCACCACUGAGCCGCCUUCUCCAGCUCUCUUCUUGUAUGUCCUUGCCUUCCCUUCCUUCAGCCGCAGCCGCUGCCCUAAAAGUGUCCCUCCUGGCCUGAAGCCACCAAGUACGCCUCCCUAGUGAGCAUACGCUGCCAUGAGCAUGAGGAAGCGGCCCCGGCUGCACUUCACUCACAGCACCCACCGCGGGGGCUCCUUGUUUUCCGUCCUCUCUCUCUCUGCCUUCCCAAGCUUUUGGCUUGCAUAUCCAGCUUUUCUGCAUGCCUGCUCGAUGACCUGCAGUCAGUGGGAAUCUGCGCUAGUCAUUCAAAGGAGGUCUCAUAAGUUCCAUCCUCCUCCCCCAAGACCCUUGCUAAGAGAUCUGUCCCCAUGACAGGCUCACUGUAGCAUUCUCAGGGCCUCUUGGUCGAGGGGCCCCUGCAGCUCUCGGCAGAGCUGUCAUCUCCAAGGACAUCUGAGCCUGAGUAGCAGCUCAGUAGUCAGCUUAAGCAGGUUCUCCCUCCCACCCCUUUUGUUAAAGUGAAAUAUUGUUGAUGUACAGUGUCGUGAUAGUUUCAGGAAUACAGCAAAGUGAUUCAGUUACACAUGCAUAUAUAUAUGAAUAUUUUAAAUGUCUUUUCCCUUAUAGGUUAUUGUAAAAUAUUGAGUUCCCUGUGCUAUACAGUAGGUCCUUGUUGGCUAUCUGUUUUAUAUACAGUAGUGUGUAUAUGUUAAUCCCAAAUGCCCAGUUUAUCCCUCCCCCUUUCUCCUUUGGUAAAAUCAUAAAUUCUCUAUGUCUCUGGGUCUGUUUCUAUUUUGUGUGUAAGUUCAUUUGCAUAUUUUUUUAUGAUUCCACAUAUAAGUAAGAUCACGUGAUAUUUGUCUUUGUCUGGCUUACUUAACUUGGUAUGAUAAUUUCCAGGUCCGUCCAUGUUUUGUUGUUUGUUUUUGGGUUUUUUUGUUUUGUUUUUUUCUUUUUAGGGCCAUGCGCACGGCAUAUGGAAGCUCCCUGACUAGGAGUCAAAUCGGAGCUACAGCUGCCUGCCUGCACCACAGCCACAUCCACGUGGGAUCCAAGCCUCGUCUGAGACCUACAGCACAGCUCACAGCAAUGCCAGAUCCUUAACCCACUGAUCGAAGCCAGGGAUCAAAACCAAAUCCUCAUGGCCACUAGUCAGAUUUGUUUCCGCUGCGCCACAGCGGGAACUCCCCGGGUCCAUCCGUGCUGCAAGUGGCGUUAUUUCAUUCUCUUUUAUGGCUGAGUAAUAUUCCGCUGUAUAUAUGUACCACAUCUUCUUCAUGCAGUCAUCUGAGAAUGAACAUGUAUGUAGCUUUAAAGUUUUCUCUAGAAAUAUACCAGGGAUGGGACUGCAAGAUCACAUGGUAACUCUAUGUUCAGUUUUUUAAAAAUCCUCCGGAUUCUUCUCCGAAGUGUCUGUACCAAUUGACAUCCCACCAACAGUGCAGGAGGGUUCCUUUGUCUCCACACCCUCUCCAGCAUUUACGUCUUGCCAGCAAAGCAUCCUUGGUGUCCUCACAGGUCAGGGAUCUCAAAGCCCUCAGCGAGGCUGCCUUCCCCCCAGAAAGCGGCUCCUCAGACAGUCCCCUGCGAUCUCUUUUGCCUGCUGGAUGGCCUUCGGGAAGCCACAACUCUGGGGACUCUGGCUUUCCCCAGGUGGGCUGGUGCCUGAGCCAGCUUGCGUGCCUCGCUGCACGGGUGUUCCUGGAGUGGACCUUCCAGGGUCUGGACAGAGGUUUGGCACUGCUCCCCAAAUCAAAGGUGGCACCAGCAUCCUUACAAGAGCCUCUCUUUCUCUCUCUUUCUCUGUUUUUUAAAAUUGGGGGACGAGAAGGGGGCAGGGUGUGGCUCAGGUCCUCCAGGUACCGCAGGCAGCCCUGUCCCCCACCCAAGGCAUGCAGGCUCACGACUGGGUUUAUUUCCCGGGACAGAGAAAAGGUGAGGCAGCCACUGCGACGGGGGAAGUGGCCUUAUCAGAUUAAUUCCUGCCUGGUAAAAAUGCUCAGCCGCCCAGCCUCUGUGAGCAAGGUGACCCAGCCUCCUGUGUACCCAGAGGUUUCCAGGCUGGUGGGUGGUUGUUUUUCCACCAAAACCCUUGGCUAGCUCGGCAUCUCACCCGAGGGCUGUGGUUUGGGGAGUGUUUUGACUUGAAACAUGCAGGCCCCUGGUGGUAUUUGGAGUUGUGAGCUCCUUCUGUGCUAAAAGGAAAAUGAAUGGUCUAUUUAGAAACUGCUAACAAUUCUCAGUAUAAAGAGCAGACAACACUUCUGCUGCUAACAUGCUGGCUUCCUGAGGCUAGUCCCCUGGGGGCUGGCUGUGUGGCAAUCCCGGCCCCUGCUCUGGCUAGUCCAUCUGACGACCCCCUACUAGUAGCGGCAAUGCUUCUAGAAAGAUAUGCCUUUGCCCUGGCUUUUUCUGGGCCUCCCCUCAACCCCUUCCCAGAACACGCUCUUCCAGGGGCCUGUGGGGACUCUGGGCUGUGAGUGAGACCCCCUUUUCCUAAACCAGAUGGACUUUGCUCUGAACAAGGGAGGGAAGGGUGGCCUGAAACAGCUUCUCUUGUGACGUUUUUACCUGUCACACACACACACACACAGAGUUCACCUGAAGGAGGAAACUGCCCUUCCUCUCAAGGAAAAAAUACACUCCAGGGUGUCUCUGUCACCAGAGUGAUUCUUCAUUCUGUUGCAGCCUAAAAUCAAAACAGAAGAGGAGAAUCAUAGCCUUCUAAGCACUCAACCUAAUUGAAAACUGAGCAGUUUAGGAGUUCCCCUUGUGGCUCAGCAGGUUGAGAACCCAAGAUAGUGUCUGUGAGGAUGCAGGUUCAAUCCCUGGCCUCACUCAGUGGGUUAAGGAUCUGGCAUUGCAGCUCCAAUUUGACCCCUAGCCCAGGAACUGCCAUAUAUCCCAAGUGUGGUCAUUAAAAAAAAAACAAAGAAAAAAAAUAAAGAAAAAAGAAACAAAAAAGACCAGUUUACUAAAAUACCAAAGCUCGUUUCAAAGAUUAACCAAAUUAGGAAUGGUGUUCAUUUCAUCUGUCACAAGGAAUUCCUCUAGAGAUACAAGCCAUCCCAGUCAAAAUCCUGAUAGGCUUUUGUGUAGAAAUUUACAAACCAAUUCUAAAGUUUAUAUAGACAUGCAAAGGAUCCAGAACAGCAAAAACAAUUUUGAAAAAGAAGAAUGAAGGUGGAAAACGAACACUACCUGAUUUAAAGACUUACUCAAAAGUAAAGACAAUAUAGAUUCGGACACACGUAGAUGGGCCUAUAAGGGCAGGCAGGUUAAUGCAACAGAAUAAGAGUCCAGAUACAGGCAGGUGUCAAGAUAAUUUAAUGGGGUAAGUGUUGCCUUUUUAAUACAUGAUGUUGAUAUAUGAUUGGACAUUCAUAUCCAUAAAAUGAACUUGACCCUUACUUCAAUCCACACAUGAAAAUUGACUUGCAAUGGGCCAUAGCAGUAAAUGCAAGAAUUAAAAUUAUAAAGCUUCUUGGAAGAGCAAAUAGAAGACAAAAGCUAUGUGACCUUGGAUUGAAUAAAGAUUUUUAGCUGGAACACAAAAAUCUUUCAUCAUAGAAGUAAAAAUUGAUAAAUUAGAUUUCAUCAAAAUUUAAAACACCUGCUCUUCAAAAGACAGAGUUAAGAAAAAUCAGGGAGUUCUCUUUGUGCCUCAGCGGUUGAUGAACCCUACUAGGAACCAUGAGGAUGCAGGUUCGAUCCCUGGCCUCAAUCAUUGGGUUAAGGAUCCAGUGUUGCCUUAGCUGUGGUGUAGGUCGCAGAUGCAGCUCAGAUCCGGAGUUGCUGUGGCUGUGGUGUGGGCCCAAAGCUGUAGCUCUGAAUCGACCCUCCUAGCCUGGGAACCUCCAUGUGCCACAGAUGUGGCCUUAAGAAAAAGGCACAGACUGUGAUAAAAUAUGUGUAAAACAUAUAUGUGAUACAGAUGUAUAUACUUUAUUUAUAUAUUUGAUAAGUAUAUUCAACAUCAUUAGUCAUUAGGGAAAUAAAACCACGAUGAGGGAGUUCCCCUGUGACACAGCAGGUUAAGGAUCCCGCAUUGUCACUGCAGCAGCUCAAGUUGCUGCUAUGGUGCAGGUUCGAUCCCUAGCCUGGAAACUUCCACAGGCUCUGGGCAUGGUCAAAAUAAAAAAAGCACAGUCACUGCCUAUACCUUAGAAGGGCUAAAACGAAAAAAACCAAAACCAAAACAAACCUCCCGAUACCAAAUGCUGGCAAGAGUGUGGAACAACUGGGACUUUCAUACUUAGCCAAUGGGGGUGUGAAAAUGGUACCCGGUUUGCAGUUUUUGAAAAAGCUAAGCAUCCCCUUAUCAUGGCAACCAACAAUCCCAUUCUAAGGUGUUUCUCUAAAAGAAAGGAAAGCGUGUGUCCACAAAAAGCCGUGUAGUCUGUUCACAGAAGCUCUCUUCAUAAUCACUGAAAAGUAGAAAUAGUCAAAUGCCCAUCGGUUGGCAAAUGGUUUGAUAUAUUGUGGUGUAUGUGGUACAAUUUGGUGAUAAAAAGGGGGUUCCCAUUGUGUCUCAGCCGGUUAUGAACCCAUCUAGUAUCCAUGAGGAUGCGGGUUUGAAGCCUCACUCAGUGGGUUAAGGAUCUGGCGUUGCCGUGAGCUGUGGUGUAGGUCGCAGACGUGGCUUGGAUCUGGCAUUGCUGUGGCUGUGGUGUAGACCGGCAGUUGUAGCUCGGAUUCAACCCCUAGCCCACAAGCUUCCAUAUGCCACAGCUGCGGCCCUAAAAAAAAAAAAAAAAAAAAAAAAA